GACGAACGCUGGCGGCGUGCUUAACACAUGCAAGUCGAACGGAAAGGCCCUGCUUUUGUGGGGUGCUCGAGUGGCGAACGGGUGAGUAACACGUGAGUAACCUGCCCUUGACUUUGGGAUAACUUCAGGAAACUGGGGCUAAUACCGGAUAGGAGCUCCUGCUGCAUGGUGGGGGUUGGAAAGUUUCGGCGGUUGGGGAUGGACUCGCGGCUUAUCAGCUUGUUGGUGGGGUAGUGGCUGACCAAGGCUUUGACGGGUAGCCGGCCUGAGAGGGUGACCGGCCACAUUGGGACUGAGAUACGGCCCAGACUCCUACGGGAGGCAGCAGUGGGGAAUAUUGCACAAUGGGCGGAAGCCUGAUGCAGCAACGCCGCGUGCGGGAUGACGGCCUUCGGGUUGUAAACCGCUUUCGCCUGUGACGAAGAGUGAGUGACGGUAAUGGGUAAAGAAGCACCGGCUAACUACGUG
This 468-nucleotide ribosomal RNA is filed under the name uncultured bacterium. RNAcentral's name for it is "partial 16S ribosomal RNA". It matches the Rfam family "Bacterial small subunit ribosomal RNA", at positions 28 to 507 of the family's 1533-position model. The record is from RNAcentral.